Podarcis lilfordi (Lilford's wall lizard) is the source of this 1484-nucleotide non-coding RNA. NCBI's taxonomy places the organism in Eukaryota, Metazoa, Chordata, Lepidosauria, Squamata, Lacertidae. The record is from the annotation of a GenBank genome assembly.
GUUAUUUUAUAUUCUUCAUUGAAAAAUACAAAAUUACAAGUGCACAGAGUGAGGUAAGACGCAAAGAAGAAGAAGAAACAACGAGAAAUAGUACCCAUGUAAAAAACAAAACAGAACAAAGCUCUCCAGUCAUGAGUCAGAGAGAGAACUGAGUCAGAUGCCCCCAAGAUGAAACAAGCUAUUUCCUGGAAACAAGCGUUUCCUUUGCUUAGAUAUCGCUCCCAAAUGGGCAAAGAUGAUAGCCCAGCCUUGCCCUACAACCAUGAGUCUCAGAAGACUCUGGUAAGUGGGGUGGUUGUGAUAAAUUAAUAGCAGCCAUCGAGAGCCCUUUCUUCCUCCAUGAAUUGUCUAGUCUUCUUUGAAAGCCAUCUAGGCAGGAGCAAGUUCCAUCGAUUGACUAUGUUCCUCAAAGACCUUUCUUAAAGUUCUGUGACGUCCAUUCUUGCUGGCAACGCGCACCCGCCAUUUUAUGAAACCGGUAAAAUCCUGGUGCUGAUCCUUGAGAGGAAACUGGCCACCCUCUCGCAGACGAGGAAUGGCGAGUCUCUGAGGCUUACGCCCAUUCUCGAGCCGCUCCAUCAUGGCUCCCACACGGAGCAAUUAAUGCUAUCGCAAGAUCAGCGAGGCAGCGGCCCCCAAGUACUUUCACACCAUAAAUAAGAAAAUAAUUAAACAUUAGAAAACACUUAUCGACCGUAUCACGCUCUGCGGAAAAAAAGAAGAACGACGGCGGAAAAGGGCUGUGAAAACAUUAGCCGACGAAUCGUGAGCUGAUUUCUCUGCGCUUAACAGCAUGGAGAAAUUUUUGCUCCGUGAGUAAACUUUAUUUUCCGCUGCCAAGAGCUACAAAAGGCUCCAUUACCAGCUCUGCAUGAGGAGUUCGGAAUGGAGCAGCUUCUGAGGCAAUUUAGGCUCACGUGUCACUUUGGCAAUAAAGCAGGAGGGAGCAGGCCUCAUUGCAAGGGACCCGGAGGGUUUUGGUGUCUGGUACCUCAGCGGGUCGAGGGACCGUUUCUGAGGUAAUGCACCUUUGCUUCUCUUUCCUGCCCCUUUCCAAGCUGCUCUUCUCUGAGAGGAUUCAGGCAUUUUAUGCACCAAAGUUGAGGCACUGGCAUCCCUCGGGCACGGGUCGUAGCUUUGUGAUCGGCUUUCCAGAUGUCAGGAGUUUGGGUCUGGAGACGACAGCCUGUUUCUCAAAGUUUAGGAACAAUUGGCACUUUGUGACAGACCUUCAUUAAGGGGCACUGUGUGGUACGAAACCAGCGGGAGGAAUUCCAUUUUUUAUUCUGUUUCCUCGGCCUCACGCCGUGGAUUUGCUGGUCACUUCAACUUCUGCUCAGUUUCAUUUGUGUUUCCUUCCCUUAAUAGCUCAUCACAGUGGUGGGCAAGCCUGCAGGCCCCGAAAUGCUGUUGGCCGCUGUAAUGUUCCCUGUUGAAUGAUGAGCCCGUUGGAGAAGUUGAACAAGAAAUACUUUUUAUUAAAG